RNAcentral lists this ribosomal RNA (906 nucleotides) under uncultured archaeon. RNAcentral's name for it is "bacterial SSU rRNA". It matches the Rfam family "Archaeal small subunit ribosomal RNA", at positions 1 to 885 of the family's 1478-position model. The record is from RNAcentral.
GUUACGAUCGCCUUUUCGGUUGAUCCUGCCGGACCUGACUGCUAUCGGAUUGAUACUAAGCCAUGCGAGUCAUUGUAGCAAUACAAGGCAGACGGCUCAGUAACGCGUAGUCAAUCUACCCCACGGACGGGAAUAACCUCGGGAAACUGAGAAUAAUGCCCGAUAGAACAUUAUGCCUGGAAUGGUUUAUGUUUCAAAUGAUUUAUCGCCAUAGGAUGGGACUGCGGCCUAUCAGUUUGUUGGUGAGGUAAUGGCCCACCAAGACUAUUACAGGUACGGGCUCUGAGAGGAGUAGCCCGGAGAUGGGUACUGAGACACGGACCCAGGCCCUAUGGGGCCGCAGCAGGACGAAGAAAACUUUGCAAAUGUGCGAAAGCACGACAAGGUUAAUCCGAGUGGUUUCUGCUAAAGAAAACCUUUUGUCAGUCCUAGAAACACUAACGAAUAAGGGGUGGGCAAGUUCUGGUGUCAGCCGCCGCGGUAAAACCAGCACCUCAAGUGGUCAGGAUGAUUAUUGGGCCUAAAGCAUCCGUAGCUCGUUUUGUAAGUUUUCUGGUUAAAUCCAUACGCUUAACGUAUGGGGCUGCCGGGAAUACUGCAUAACUAGGAAGUGGGAGAGGUAGACGGUACUCGGUAGGAAGGGGUAAAAUCCUUUGAUCUAUUCGAUGACCACCUGUGGCGAAGGCGGUACUACCAGAACACGUUCGGCUGGUGAGGGAUGAAAGCUGGGGGAGCUAUAACCGGAUUAGAUACUUCCGGGUAGUCCCAGCUGUAAACUAUGCUAAACUCAGUGAUGCAUUGGCUUGUGGCCAAUGCUAGUGCUUGCAGGGAAGGGUUAAGUUUGCCCCUGGGAAGUACGUACGCAAGUCAUGAAACUUAAAGGAAUUGGCGGGAGCUGGCCACAAG